RNAcentral lists this long non-coding RNA (248 nucleotides) under Phoenix dactylifera (date palm). RNAcentral's name for it is "long non-coding RNA (PDAC_LNC008335)". Lineage: Eukaryota; Viridiplantae; Streptophyta; Magnoliopsida; Arecales; Arecaceae. The record is from RNAcentral.
AUCGAAGGGAGAAUGAAGAGUAGCAUAAAUCUACAUGUCUUCAUCUUCAAAGACUUUUGCCACCAUCACAACGUCAUUCAAAGGUGGAUAAGAAGGUAUAGCAUUGGGCUAUGCUAAAAGGAUAUAGCGCUGGUUAUAGUAGAAAGUUGUUGACUCGGAGGAUUAGUUUUGAUGAUCACAAAAUAUUUAAGGUUCCAUUUGGGGGAGUUUUUGGAGGACCAAAAAGCACUUUCUAGCCCUCCAAAAGC